UACGAAGGGGGCUAGCGUUGCUCGGAAUCACUGGGCGUAAAGCGCACGUAGGCGGACUCUUAAGUCGGUGGUGAAAUCCUGGAGCUCAACUCCAGAACUGCCUUCGAUACUGGGAGUCUCGAGUUCGGGAGAGGUGAGUGGAACUGCGAGUGUAGAGGUGAAAUUCGUAGAUAUUCGCAAGAACACCAGUGGCGAAGGCGGCUCACUGGCCCGGUAUUGACGCUGAGGUGCGAAAGCGUGGGGAGCAAACAGG
This 253-nucleotide ribosomal RNA is filed under the name uncultured bacterium. Its description in RNAcentral is "partial 16S ribosomal RNA". It matches the Rfam family "Bacterial small subunit ribosomal RNA", at positions 524 to 776 of the family's 1533-position model. The record is from RNAcentral.